CCUACGGGUGGCAGCAGUGAGGAAUAUUGGUCAAUGGACGAGAGUCUGAACCAGCCAAGUAGCGUGAAGGAUGACUGCCCUAUGGGUUGUAAACUUCUUUUAUAUGGGAAUAAAAUGUUCCACGUGUGGGAUUUUGUAUGUACCAUAUGAAUAAGGAUCGGCUAACUCCGUGCCAGCAGCCGCGUUAAUACGGAGGAUCCGGGCGUUAUCCGGAUUUAUUGGGUUUAAAGGGAGCGUAGGUGGAUUGUUAAGUCAGUUGUGAAAGUUUGCGGCUCAACCGGAAAAUUGCAGUUGAAACUGGCAGUCUUGAGUACAGUAGAGGUGGGCGGAAUGCGUGGUGUAGCGGUGAAAUGCUUAGAUAUCACGAAGAACUCCGAUUGCGAAGGCAGUUCACUGGACUGCAACUGACACUGAGGCUCGAAAGUGUGGGUAUCAAACAGGAUUAGAUACCCGGGUAGUC
RNAcentral lists this ribosomal RNA (460 nucleotides) under uncultured bacterium. Its description in RNAcentral is "partial 16S ribosomal RNA". It matches the Rfam family "Bacterial small subunit ribosomal RNA", at positions 338 to 795 of the family's 1533-position model. The record is from RNAcentral.